This 497-nucleotide ribosomal RNA is filed under the name uncultured bacterium. Its description in RNAcentral is "partial 16S ribosomal RNA". It matches the Rfam family "Bacterial small subunit ribosomal RNA", at positions 28 to 507 of the family's 1533-position model. The record is from RNAcentral.
GAUGAACGCUGGCGGCGUGCCUAAUACAUGCAAGUCGAGCGAACAGACGAGGAGCUUGCUCCUCUGACGUUAGCGGCGGACGGGUGAGUAACACGUGGAUAACCUACCUAUAAGACUGGGAUAACUUCGGGAAACCGGAGCUAAUACCGGAUAAUAUAUUGAACCGCAUGGUUCAAUAGUGAAAGACGGUUUUGCUGUCACUUAUAGAUGGAUCCGCGCCGCAUUAGCUAGUUGGUAAGGUAACGGCUUACCAAGGCAACGAUGCGUAGCCGACCUGAGAGGUUGAGCGGCCAGAAUGGAGAUAAGACUCGGACAAGAGGACAACGGGAGGCAGCAGUAGGGAAGAGUGCACAAUGGUAUAAAGCUAGAAGUAGAAAAGUAGCGUGAAAGAAGAAAGUCUUAAGAACGUAAAACUCUGUUAUUAGUGAAGAACAAAAGAGUAAGGACCAAUGCCCGUCAUGACGGUACCUAAUCAGAAAGCCACGGAUAACUACGUG